AUUGACUGUGUGUUGAGAAGGAAUUCUCUCCAGCCGUGGCGUGAUAUUGUUCCAACCAACUCUACGGUGGAGAAGAACGGAGGAAGGCCACACUGUCUUUCCAGGACGUGAGAUAGCCGAUUAUGCAAGCGGUGGAUUGACUGUGUGUUGAGAAGGAAUUCUCUCCAGCCGUGGCGUGAUAUUAUUCCA
Molecule: long non-coding RNA, 189 nt
Organism: Bufo bufo (common toad)
Lineage: Eukaryota; Metazoa; Chordata; Amphibia; Anura; Bufonidae
Exons: 3
Source: RefSeq, a predicted model, not a curated record